UUCCGGUUGAHUCUHCGGAGGCCAUUGCUAUUGGAGUCCGAUUUAGCCAUGCUAGUCGCGCGGGUUUAGACCCGCGGCAUAUAGCUCAGUAACACGUGGCCAAACUACCCUAUGGACAGGGACAACCUCGGGAAACUGAGGCUAAUCCCUGAUACCGCUCUCAGACUGGAGUGUCGAGAGUGAGAAACGCCCCGGCGCCAUAGGAUGUGGCUGCGGCCGAUUAGGUAGAUGGUGGGGUAACGGCCCACCAUGCCAAUAAUCGGUACGGGUCAUGAGAGUGAGAGCCCGGAGACGGUAUCUGAGACAAGAUACCGGGCCCUACGGGGGCACGCAGGCGCGAAACCUUUACACUGCACGACAGSUGMAUAAGGGGACUCCAAGUGCGAGGGCAUAUAGYCCUCGCUUUUCUGUACCGUAGGGAGGUACAGGAACAAGUGCUGGGCAAGACCGGUGCCAGCCGCCGCGGUAAUACCGGCAGCACGAGUGAUGGCCGAUAUUAUUGGGCCUAAAGCGUCCGUAGCCGGCCGAACAAGUCCGUUGGGAAAUCCACGCGCUCAACGCGUGGCCGUCCAGCGGAAACUGUUCGGCUUGGGGCCGGAAGACCUGAGGGGUACGUCCGGGGUAGGAGUGAAAUCCUGUAAUCCUGGACGGACCACCGGUGGCGAAASSGCCUCAGGAAGACGGACCCGACGGUGAGGGACGAAAGCUAGGGUCUCGAACCGGAUUAGAUACCCGGGUAGUCCUAGCUGUUAACAAUGCUCCCUAGGUGUCGCCAGCUACGAGCCUGUGCUGUGCCCUAGGGAAGCCGAGAAKCGAGCCGCCUGGGAAGUACGUCUGCAAGGAUGAAACUUAAAGGAAUUGGCGGUGU
RNAcentral lists this ribosomal RNA (868 nucleotides) under uncultured haloarchaeon. Its description in RNAcentral is "bacterial SSU rRNA". It matches the Rfam family "Archaeal small subunit ribosomal RNA", at positions 1 to 874 of the family's 1478-position model. Lineage: Archaea; Methanobacteriati; Methanobacteriota; Halobacteria; Halobacteriales; Halobacteriaceae. The record is from RNAcentral.